Molecule: non-coding RNA, 654 nt
Organism: Prunus mume (Japanese apricot)
Lineage: Eukaryota; Viridiplantae; Streptophyta; Magnoliopsida; Rosales; Rosaceae
Source: RefSeq, a predicted model, not a curated record
UGAUGAGUGUUUAUUCUGAAGGAAGUAGUGUUCUCUAUUAUCCAGAUCGGAGCAUGGAUAUGUAAUCAGCAUGGCGCCUUUGAAUAGGAGCAGCUCAUGCAUAAUGCCGUGGAGGUUCCUGUCCUGAGUAUGGUAUACACGGGAUUAUAUUGCCCCACACUGUGCAGUCAUUUAGGUUCAACUUCAUCCUACUUGAGUGUUUCAUGGUUUUCUAUUGCUGCAGUCUUUGCGCUGAUUCAUUUAGCUAGGUUUUGCACAACCAUGUUUUCAGGGCAGAAUGCAGAUCAUGAACAAGAACAAGGCUUAUCUCAAUUCUUCAAUCCACGACUGAUUUGUGGUUGAAGGUUGGAUGUCACAACAAGCGGCCCCAAAUACUAAAUUGAGCAUGUGUUCAAAGGAAAACUACUUUUCAGAGAUGGGCCAUAUUUUAUUGUUGCUGUCGAAAUCUUGACCUCACCAAUAAAGAUAGUUUUUAUUUCUUCCCAAAAUUGGAGACUUAUCAAGUGAGGAACGGUGAAACUCAUGGGACAGAAAUUCUCUUUCUUUUUUGAGAAUGCUACCAACCUUAUCUUUAAUAUUUUUUUUUGGACUUCAUCCCUUCUCCUCCUGCCAUGUGUUGCCUUCUUUAUACUAAAAUAAUGUCAUUAAUACGUA